AAGAUUGCCAAAGUUGUAUAUAUUCCAAAGUUUAACUGCAAUUUAUUAUCUAUUAGUCGAAUAACAAUGGAUCUAAAUUGUUAUAUAAUAUUUUUCCGGAUUUCUUUAUUGCACGGGAUUUGCAGACGAUGAGCUUGAUUGGAGCGGGGAAAUGUGAUAAGGGUCUAUAUCAGAUGGUGUUGUGAUAUGUCUCCGACUUAACUCCGUCUCCUUGAGGGGUGAAAAAGAUAAGCCUGAGAAUCACAACAAAGAAAACAAGAUUGUUAGAAGUCGUCUGGGAGGUGAUCCCGAAACGACGCUCCGAUGGUCAAGUUAGUGAAUCCCCUUGAGAAAAGGUAUCAUAUGGAGAGUAUGAGACUGGGAUUUAAGAGUCGAUCCCUUCUCUUGGGGGAGAAGGGACCUUUUAUACCUGUGGUCAGGGGAACAGAUCCCCGAUAGUAUCUUCUACUUUUUCAGGGAUGGAAGGACGAGGCGGCCUUCGAUUGGAAGAUCGUACCCUGUAGGUGGCUAUUUGUUAUUGGUGCAGAACUGCCAAUUAGCAGAUCACCAAGCACUACACCUGCCGCCCUGGGGCAACUGGUACUCAUUUUUUUUAUCUAUAGCGGGAGUUUCACUUUUAAAAGAGGGCCAAUCCUGAGGCCAAAUCAUCGGUGGUAGAAUGCGGGGUCUUAUGGACAAUGGUUUUCUCCCGGCUCUUGUCGGGUAGUGGGUUUUUGAUAGGUCGUUCUUUAGUUGACGGCUCCGUUAUCCUUGGACGUAACUCCGGGUGAGAUAUGUCAACAAGUACCCUAGGCUAGUGCAUAUCAGCGUUUGCUCGGGUAAGCAAGGUCAUUCUAGCCUUAGGCGAGUGCACGUGUUCAUAAAUGGUGGUUUCUACUGCCUAUUGACAUGACAGAAUCGUCUAAGUCGGCGGCUUCAUCAUUGUAAUUGUUCGGGUUUCCCGCAUGCAUUUAAAACCUUCCUUAUCCAAUCUGCUUUCCUUUUUUCCUUUGCUUCUUCUUUCCUCAAAGAAUGCUUCUUUCUUUUUUGUUUCUUCCACAUUUCUUCUUUUUCAUUUUUGUUUCCCCUUUGUUACCGGACCAUGGCAUCUCUGAACAUGGGUGUCGCUCCAUCUUCCAAAGAGUUUUCUGGGCUGCAGGAGCAAUUCGGUUUCCUCCCCAAUCAUGGAGUUGAGUUUCCACACAAGGAUAUGUUAUCUCUCGACCACUAGAGGGUAAGGUCGGAUUUCAUAUUUCCAUCUUCGAGGCAGGGCUCUGGUUGCCAACGACCGACUUUUUUUGACGAGAUCAUGCGUCACUACGGUUUCACUCUUGACGACCUUACCCCCAACAUUGUUAACAAGAUAGUUGGCUUUGAGAUGUCAUGUCGGACUCUAGAGGUGUUCAUGCUUUCAUCGUAAACCAGAAAGCGCCAAAGAAGAAUUGGCAGGACAGGUGGCCCUGGGUGAAUCGAGAUUUAGUCGGUUAUGGUUAUCCCUGUAGAUCCAACUUUUCUGACCGGAUUUCUACUCUUUAGGGGGCUAGCGAGCAAGUUUCCAACGCUCUGAAGAGCAUCUCUUUCAACGGGGAUGACUGGGAGGACCGUAUGUUGGCCGUUGUGGGUAUAAGUGUAGCUUGGAGGUCUCAAGGAAUGAUGCCUCAGUUUUUCGUUUUGAAGGAUGGUUGUGGGAGGAUCAGUCCAGUCGAGAUGUUUUUGAGGGGUCAUUUUCAAGGUGCCUGCCUUCAUCGGGAGGUGUCAUUGGUGGAAGGGACCUUCCCCUGCCCCCGAUAAGUGAUUUCUGCUAUAUCCCUUAUUAUAUGUGGAUUGAAUUUGGUUGGUGAAACUCAAACAAUGUUUUCUUGUGAAUGGUUUUUAUUUGGUGAACAACUUUGACAAUUUUUGUUAUUCGUUUUUUGGUGGCCCUGCAUGGCCUUUUUCUAAGCCCGAUAUCUGGCCGGUAGACAAUUUGUUUUCUUUUUUGAAGAAACAUAGCUUUGUACUUUUUUGUGGUUUACUUGUGGUUUAUUUGGAUUGAAUCUUGGGGGGUUUAUGUUGGCCACCCUGGGGCUGAGUUCUUUCCUGGACCCUGGUCAGUCCCAGAAUUGCUAUUAUGUGUUGUUGUUCCUGUUUAAGUUUGUAUUAGGUGAGAGAUUGGCAAGAAAUUUUCUCUGUUAUACGUAGGUUAUCCGUUUUGGUUACUGCCCUUUAUUUCUCUACCCUUUUUUUUUCCUUUCAGACUUUUAUUUGGAGUUUUGGGCUCCUGAGGCCCCUGUCUUCGAUUUUGAUUAUUUAAUUCAUGUCUGGAUUGUCAUCAUGGGGCUUCGACGCUUAGAUAUUGUUUUAUUGCGAGGCGAGGUUAUGAUCCUUCAUAGCCUCUAGCUAUCCCUGCAUCCUAAUUCCCACCUUCCUUAAACAGAGCGGGAUUUUUUUAAGGAACGGUUGUGAGCCUUUGAGGCCUAUGAUUGUGUUUUUUGCAAUGGUUUCAUGUAAGUGGUGCGGAUGAUUAGUCUGUCUUUGUUUUCCAUUUGUAUGAAUGCAUGUUUAUACGCGUUUGUUUCGAAUCAGAGCUUUUCAUUGCAUACUUUCUAGUGUCUUAGAGACAUCUACAUC
Non-coding RNA from Lactuca sativa (garden lettuce), 2589 nucleotides. NCBI's taxonomy places the organism in Eukaryota, Viridiplantae, Streptophyta, Magnoliopsida, Asterales, Asteraceae. The record is from RefSeq and is a predicted model, not a curated record.